GUCUACUCAGGAGUAAUCUUCCUUAACCCUUUAAAAUUUUUAAUUCAUAUGGAAGUAUCUUCAUGUUAGUUAUUCAUUAAAAUAUCAGUGUCCUACAGUUGGUAUUACAUAUUUAAUUUUUAAAUGUUGAAGCCCCAUGAUGAAUAAUAAAAAAUGUUAUAUAAUUAGAAGACUAAAAAGGGGCUUGUCAUACAAUCUUUGUGAAUAUACUUCAUGUUAUUUGACCAGAAAUGUCAUCCCUAAAAAUUUUGAGUAGUAAUUAUUUACCAAACUCUGUGCUUGCUUUUUAAGUAGACGUCAUAGCUUGAGAAUGCCGUAGUCAUUUUUCCAAAGCGAGCACACUGUACUGUUAAUUUGUUAAGAGUAGGUUAAGGCUUUGGGAGGUGGUUACAGAGCUUAAAGACGUCUGGGGAGCCUGCUCAGCAGUGGGAGGUGAACGGGUGUCCAGG
RNAcentral lists this long non-coding RNA (449 nucleotides) under Bos taurus (domestic cattle). RNAcentral's name for it is "long non-coding RNA NONBTAT014176". The record is from RNAcentral. Lineage: Eukaryota; Metazoa; Chordata; Mammalia; Artiodactyla; Bovidae.